UCCCAAAGUGUUGUCUCUAAAUCAGUACUGGCUUUGCUUUUCCACCAGAAUGCAAAUUAUGUUAUUUGCUGCCAUUGUGUGUCAAUUAAAGAUAAAAUGUGAAUUCCUACUGCAAUAUGCUCCUACUGGCAUAGCAUCGUGAUUUUCCUAAAAUUCACGGACCAGUUCCCAAAGAUGUUGGCUGCUUGGAUGCAAGAGGACAAGAAGAAACCAGCCACCAUGCCGCAAAUAAUCUCAAACUACCCAUGGGGGAAGAUCAUAUUGGAGAAG
RNAcentral lists this long non-coding RNA (270 nucleotides) under Homo sapiens (human). RNAcentral's name for it is "HSALNT0364112". Lineage: Eukaryota; Metazoa; Chordata; Mammalia; Primates; Hominidae. The record is from RNAcentral.